UCGGCUUCUCGCGCUCGCGCCCGCAGCGCCGCCCUUCCUCGUCGCCCGCCGGAGUUUCGCCUGAGCGCCCUUCCCGCUGGUUCACCCCGCCGAGCUCGCUCCUUUACCAACCUGCUGCUGCCACUUUUAUUCUUCAUUUUAAUUUUAACAAGCUGCUAUUUUUUUGCUAACUCCCUCUGUUAACUAUUUCUACCAUUUAUUCUUCACACACACUCUCGGCAGCGAUUCUUCGCCGUUCGCAAACCCCCGGCAGCGAACUUCGGCGGCGACACUUCAGCGGCAGCGAACUUCGAUAGAGCUAACGAGCCGAACACGA
Molecule: long non-coding RNA, 316 nt
Filed under: Ananas comosus (pineapple)
Lineage: Eukaryota; Viridiplantae; Streptophyta; Magnoliopsida; Poales; Bromeliaceae
Description: long non-coding RNA (ACOM_LNC035245)
Source: RNAcentral